CGGACAGAAGGGAGCUUGCUCCCGGAUGUUAGCGGCGGACGGGUGAGUAACACGUGGGUAACCUGCCUGUAAGACUGGGAUAACUCCGGGAAACCGGAGCUAAUACCGGAUAGUUCCUUGAACCGCAUGGUUCAAGGAUGAAAGACGGUUUCGGCUGUCACUUACAGAUGGACCCGCGGCGCAUUAGCUAGUUGGUGAGGUAACGGCUCACCAAGGCGACGAUGCGUAGCCGACCUGAGAGGGUGAUCGGCCACACUGGGACUGAGACACGGCCCAGACUCCUACGGGAGGCAGCAGUAGGGAAUCUUCCGCAAUGGACGAAAGUCUGACGGAGCAACGCCGCGUGAGUGAUGAAGGUUUUCGGAUCGUAAAGCUCUGUUGUUAGGGAAGAACAAGUGCAAGAGUAACUGCUUGCACCUUGACGGUACCUAACCAGAAAGCCACGGCUAACUACGUGCCAGCAGCCGCGGUAAUACGUAGGUGGCAAGCGUUGUCCGGAAUUAUUGGGCGUAGAGGGCUCGCAGGCGGUUUCUUAAGUCUGAUGUGAAAGCCCCCGGCUCAACCGGGGAGGGUCAUUGGAAACUGGGAAACUUGAGUGCAGAAGAGGAGAGUGAAAUUCCACGUGUAGCGGUGAAAUG
Molecule: ribosomal RNA, 638 nt
Filed under: Bacillus pumilus
Lineage: Bacteria; Bacillati; Bacillota; Bacilli; Caryophanales; Bacillaceae
Description: bacterial SSU rRNA
Rfam family: Bacterial small subunit ribosomal RNA
Source: RNAcentral